UCGGACGGGGUGAGUAACGCGUGAGAAUCUAGCUCUAGGUCGGGGACAACCACUGGAAACGGUGGCUAAUACCGGAUGUGCCGAAAGGUGAAAGGCUUGCUGCCUAGAGAUGAGCUCGCGUCUGAUUAGCUAGUAGGUGUGGUAAGAGCGCACCUAGGCGACGAUCAGUAGCUGGUCUGAGAGGAUGAUCAGCCACACUGGGACUGAGACACGGCCCAGACUCCUACGGGAGGCAGCAGUGGGGAAUUUUCCGCAAUGGGCGAAAGCCUGACGGAGCAAUACCGCGUGAGGGAGGAAGGCUCUUGGGUUGUAAACCUCUUUUCUCAGGGAAGAAAAAAAUGACGGUACCUGAGGAAUAAGCAUCGGCUAACUCCGUGCCAGCAGCCGCGGUAAUACGGAGGAUGCAAGCGUUAUCCGGAAUGAUUGGGCGUAAAGCGUCCGCAGGUGGCAAUGUAAGUCUGCUGUUAAAGAGUGAGGCUCAACCUCAUAAGAGCAGUGGAAACUACAUAGCUAGAGUGCGUUCGGGGCAGAGGGAAUUCCUGGUGUAGCGGUGAAAUGCGUAGAGAUCAGGAAGAACACCGGUGGCGAAAGCGCUCUUGCUAGGCCGCAACUGACACUGAGACGAAAGCUAAAGUGUUUCGAAUGGGAUUAGAUACCCCAGUAGUCAA
Molecule: ribosomal RNA, 668 nt
Filed under: Calothrix sp. GUEco 1003
Lineage: Bacteria; Bacillati; Cyanobacteriota; Cyanophyceae; Nostocales; Calotrichaceae
Description: bacterial SSU rRNA
Rfam family: Bacterial small subunit ribosomal RNA
Source: RNAcentral